UGCCGGGUCAUCCAAGGGCAGGAUGCGUGAUUCUGGAUCACGUCAUGCGGGUUCGAAUCCUGCCCCGGCAG
This 71-nucleotide transfer RNA is filed under the name Actinomadura litoris. It matches the Rfam family "tRNA". Rfam says of the family: Transfer RNA (tRNA) molecules are approximately 80 nucleotides in length. Their secondary structure includes four short double-helical elements and three loops (D, anti-codon, and T loops). The record is from Rfam by way of RNAcentral. RNAcentral also lists the same sequence under 1 other name. Lineage: Bacteria; Bacillati; Actinomycetota; Actinomycetes; Streptosporangiales; Thermomonosporaceae.